This 411-nucleotide ribosomal RNA is filed under the name uncultured bacterium. RNAcentral describes it as "bacterial SSU rRNA". It matches the Rfam family "Bacterial small subunit ribosomal RNA", at positions 127 to 518 of the family's 1533-position model. The record is from RNAcentral.
UGCCCAUAAGAGGGGGGAUAACAUCCGGAAAGGGUGCUAAUACCGCAUAGUUUUCUUGAUCGCAUGAUUGAGAAAGGAAGACGGCCUUUUGUGCUGUCGCUUAUGGAUGGACCCGCGGCGUAUUAGUUAGUUGGUGAGGUAACGGCUCACCAAGACGAUGAUACGUAGCCGACCUGAGAGGGUGAUCGGCCACAUUGGGACUGAGACACGGCCCAAACUCCUACGGGAGGCAGCAGUAGGGAAUCUUCCGCAAUGGACGAAAGUCUGACGGAGCAACGCCGCGUGAGUGAAGAAAAGGGUUUUUCGGAUCGUAAAACUCUGUUGUCAGAGAAGAACAAGUUGGAGAGUAACUGCUCCAGCCUUGACGGUAUCUGACCAGAAAGCCACGGCUAACUACGUGCCAGCCGCUGC